Molecule: long non-coding RNA, 878 nt
Organism: Hyaena hyaena (striped hyena)
Lineage: Eukaryota; Metazoa; Chordata; Mammalia; Carnivora; Hyaenidae
Exons: 3
Source: RefSeq, a predicted model, not a curated record
CAGGGCUUUUAUAUGCACUUAUCUGGGCAAGUAUAAGAUUAUCAUCUGUCUCCUCCACAGGAUGGCUCUCUAAUUACCAUAAUGGAUGUUGCUGAGAAACUACGAGCUCUUCUGGCCAAGCUGCCGCCUGCAGAAGGAGACCGGCCCCGGCUGCUCAGCGAUUAGAGCUGGCGGAACUGCUCCUGCGGGCAGCGCUCCAGAGAGGCACCGCCUCUCCAGCUUCUCUACAGCAGAAGCGGGUGGCACCUAGGAACCCUGCGGGACACUUGUGAAGAUCACUUCUUAAGACAACCUCUGACUUGAAAUGAGAAUUCAUAAUCCUUUACUUGCUGACACAGACAGAAACAUUGGUGAUGCAGAUCUUACCAAAGUCACGACACACGAAGGAAACGACUCCAGGAAAGCUUGAACUAGUGCCAUUUCUAAAUUGCACUUCUAAAUAUUGACUUCAUGGCGAGACUCAAAGUGUCAUAACACAGCUCACUGGAGGAAUGAAGAUUUUCCAGACCUCAUCCAGAGGUCUGCACAACGUCCUCUGGGAAGUGGAGAAGGAAGAGGAGGAUUUGAGAAGAAAAAUAAAAUCAAGUCAUGUUUAGAAGAAACGCCAUCGCACUUCACUUAAUCUUGCAGAGACAAAUGAACACUCAUGGGGCAAUUAGCUGUGGAGGGGCUGGAGGGGACUGAGAUGGGAGGGAGAAAGGAAAACAGUGACCAUUAAUCCCUCAGCUGAUGGCCAAGAAGAAUGGAGGGUGUGAGAAAGAGCCCUUCAGAAACACCUAGCUCUCUGAGAGCCUUUAUUUGGGUUUCCGGCUGAGAAGGACUGGACAGUGUCUGGAAAACAAGAAACUUUUCAUCCAACUUCUGUCAAGACUUCAACA